UUAUAUUUCAAUUUUAUUUCAAUAACUUUGAACUUAUCUUGACCACUCAUAAAAUAUCUAUGGGUAAAAUUGAGAAUUGAAAAUGAAAAUCCUAAAUUGCAUAGUAUAAAAACUUGUGAUUGGCCAGAUAAAGAGGGAGGUGGCGCAUAUCCUCAUCAUCUUACUCUGAAUCCAAAAAUGAAGAAAAAACAAAAUAGAAACUUGAAAGAAAAAAAAGAGGAUGAAGAGGUUAUGUUGGUUCUUUUUCAUGCAUAUGUAGUAACGAUCGUGCACCAUUCUUCAACCUCAAAUUUAUUCACCACAC
Molecule: long non-coding RNA, 304 nt
Filed under: Lathyrus oleraceus (garden pea)
Lineage: Eukaryota; Viridiplantae; Streptophyta; Magnoliopsida; Fabales; Fabaceae
Description: Pisum sativum (pea) long non-coding RNA (PSAT_LNC000743)
Source: RNAcentral